UUUAGAUCUAGACUCAGUUUACACAUACCACAGACCCUGGAGAAUGUGAUUCAGUAAGGGAAAUGACUUUACUUGACCAUAGCUAACUUGUGGCAAUUAUUCUUUGCUGGUGUGAUGAUCUCAGGAUAUGCAUGGGGAACGGGAAAUCAAUCCCUUUAGAAACUUUACUUGAACGUUGUGGCCACCUCUUAUUUGCAGCCUGCCUAGAUAACUGAUGAAAAGCUCACAUGCAGGAACAGACUUGCCAUCUCCUUAACACUGUGGUCCAGGGUAGCAGAAAAGUCAAGUGAAAAAACCAACCUGCAGAAAUGAGGUCAGACAAGCCAGAGGGAACUAACUUUCCUUUUAGCACCAGGGAGCCUGCAGGCUUCCCAUCUACUGCCUGUUAUUAACAGCCAAGAAGCAAGGCAGAGGCAGUCCCUGCCCUCUCUCCAGGCUGGGAGGUGUUAAUGGAUGGGUGUGAGAGGAUGCCAUUGGGGUGGAGGUGAAAGAUGAGUGAUCUGAACACAGCCAUCAGGUUUAUUCCUGCCAGCUGCUCUGAGCCAAGUGAAGUGAUAUAAUCACAGAGCAGGCAAGCCCCAGAGAUCUGAGUAGGGGGGUGCGGAGGUGUCUAGUAGGCAGCUGUGUGCCUCCCUUAUAGGAGGGUGUUGUCAGGACUGUGAGGUUUGAGCUUUUUGGAUGGAGAAGGUGUAUCUCCAAGUCAGAGGAUGGCACCAGCUUCUCCCUUGAAACAAGCUUCCUACUGUUCCAUCCCACAGAAAAUAAGUUCAGGAAGUGUGUCACAUUUUUAGGAGGUUUUGCAGACUGUGUUUGCUGGUUAUCUUUUUUACCACGGGGGUUCAAGAUAUUCUACAUGUAAUAUGGGCUGGGUUUACUCUUCCAAUUCCACUAAACCAUCAGAAGAUCCAUACAGGGCCUUUGCUUUGGGGUUGCGAGAGGACUUGGGCAGCAGCUCCAAAAGGCUCUUUAUUAUCUCAGUGGACUUCAGAAGAGGGCCCCAUGGGGCUUCACAAGGAAACCAAAGCGAGCAUUUGGAUUUGAUGUACCAGAGGAACUAUGCAGAAAAGUGAGAGCAUCCAGAUUUCCCCAUGUUCAUGGACGCUGUCAUUUCAAGAGGGCAGUAACACUUUUGGCUAUUACUUGUCUUGCCCUUGAGUCAAAAUAAUAACGAUUCUCAGUACUCUUCAUAGUAUCAUGAAAUAUUUUAUGACUUUAAUUUCCUUAAUUGUAUUAGGGUGCAAUUCCCUGCC
RNAcentral lists this long non-coding RNA (1250 nucleotides) under Anas platyrhynchos platyrhynchos (common mallard). RNAcentral describes it as "lncRNA (ENSAPLG00000017579.1)". The record is from RNAcentral. Lineage: Eukaryota; Metazoa; Chordata; Aves; Anseriformes; Anatidae.